RNAcentral lists this ribosomal RNA (492 nucleotides) under uncultured Microbacterium sp. Its description in RNAcentral is "partial 16S ribosomal RNA". Lineage: Bacteria; Bacillati; Actinomycetota; Actinomycetes; Micrococcales; Microbacteriaceae. The record is from RNAcentral.
CACGUAGUUUAGCCGGCGCUUUUUCUGCAGGUACCGUCACUUUCGCUUCUUCCCUGCUAAAAAGAGGUUUACAACCCGAAGGCCGUCAUCCCUCACGCGGCGUUGCUGCAUCAGGCUUUCGCCCAUUGUGCAAUAUUCCCCACUGCUGCCUCCCGUAGGAGUCUGGGCCGUGUCUCAGUCCCAGUGUGGCCGGUCACCCUCUCAGGCCGGCUACCCGUCGAAGCCUUGGUGAGCCGUUACCUCACCAACAAGCUGAUAGGCCGCGAGCCCAUCCCGGACCGAAAAACUCUUUCCAACAACUGACCAUGCGGCCGCUGUUCGUAUCCGGUAUUAGACGCCGUUUCCAGCGCUUAUCCCGAGAGUCCGGGGCAGGUUGCUCACGUGUUACUCACCCGUUCGCCACUGAUCCACAGGAGCAAGCUCCCGCUUCACCGUUCGACUUGCAUGUGUUAAGCACGCCGCCAGCGUUCAUCCUGAGCCAGGAUCAAACUC